RNAcentral lists this small RNA (27 nucleotides) under Bombyx mori (domestic silkworm). Its description in RNAcentral is "ovarian small RNA-23202". Lineage: Eukaryota; Metazoa; Arthropoda; Insecta; Lepidoptera; Bombycidae. The record is from RNAcentral.
UAGUUUAGGACUAGAGGGUCGUAGAUA